CUCUUUGUAUUUAUUAAAUAAAGAGUCGAUCCUGCUCGGUGAUUUAAAUUUAACAGCUGCGGUAUUUUAACUGUACUAAGGUAGCAUAAUAAUUUGCCUUAUAAAUUGAGGCUAGAAUGAAAGGUUUGACGAAGGUUUAUCUGUCUCUAUUUUAUUUAUUAGAAAUUAAUUUUUUAGUGAAAAAGCUAGGAUUUUUUAAAGGGACGAGAAGACCCUAUUGAGCUUAAAUUUAAAAAUAUUAAAUAAUUUAAUAUUUUGAUAAAUUUUAAUUGGGGUGAUUAAGGAAUAAAAUAAUAGGUAUUAUUAAAUAUAGUAACUUCCUUAAAUUUAAUACUGUUAGGUUAAGUAACCAAUGUAAUAUUGCUUAUAAUAAAGUUACCAUAGGGAUAACAGCGUAAUCUACUUAAAGAGUUCUUAUUGAAAAGUGGGAUUGCGACCUCGAUGUUGGAUUAAAGUAACCUUAAGGUGCAGCAGCUUUAAAAGGUAAAUCUGUUCGAUUUUUAAAACUUUACGUGAU
This 517-nucleotide ribosomal RNA is filed under the name Doratosepion kobiense. RNAcentral describes it as "partial 16S rRNA". It matches the Rfam family "Bacterial large subunit ribosomal RNA", at positions 1819 to 2604 of the family's 2925-position model. The record is from RNAcentral. Lineage: Eukaryota; Metazoa; Mollusca; Cephalopoda; Sepiida; Sepiidae.